UUUAAUGUUUUGACUAUCCCUGAGAAGCAAAACAAGUGAAUAGUAUAAAGAAGGCUAAGGAAGGCAAUUUGAAUUAUACAAAAUCAUCAUACACAUACAAGUUGAGUAUCCUUAUCUGAAAUGUUUGGGACCGGAAGUGUUUUAGAUUUUGGAAUGUUUCCAUUAUAUUAUUGGACAAGGAGCAUUUCCUUUUUGAACAUCAUGUCAGUACUGAAAAAUUUUGGAUCUUGAAGCAUUUUGGAUCUUAGAUUCUCAGAUUUGGGAUGGUCAACCUCAGUAACUGAUUUUUUUUUUCUUUUCUUUUCUUUUUUUUGAGAGAUGGUGCGAUCUCAGCUCACUGCAACCUCCACCACCUGGGUUCAAGCUAUCCUGCCUCAGCCU
This 381-nucleotide long non-coding RNA is filed under the name Pan troglodytes (chimpanzee). RNAcentral's name for it is "long non-coding RNA NONPTRT007208". The record is from RNAcentral. Lineage: Eukaryota; Metazoa; Chordata; Mammalia; Primates; Hominidae.